UUUAUUACCUGGCAGGGGAGACAACAUGAUCAUGAAGUUGGUUUUCCCAGGGUGAGGCUCAUCCAUUGCACUCUGGGUGUGCUGACCCCUGCGCUUUCUCCCCAAAUGUGGGAAACCCGACUGCAUAAUUUGUGGUCGUUAAAUCUUCUCCAGAUUUAA
Hemicordylus capensis (graceful crag lizard) is the source of this 159-nucleotide small nuclear RNA. RefSeq annotates it as U1 spliceosomal RNA. NCBI's taxonomy places the organism in Eukaryota, Metazoa, Chordata, Lepidosauria, Squamata, Cordylidae. The record is from RefSeq and is a predicted model, not a curated record. The transcript has a single exon.